UACCGAUAUAUGAUGAACGUCACAAAUAAAGACGCAAAUCAGUUAAACGCCUAUAGUAAAACGUACGCUUAUACAAGUGAGGACAGGAGCCGACGACAUAGCUCAACAUCUGAAAAUUUAACUGGUGUUACUUCUACGGGAACAAAGCCGCCCUUGAUUAUAGAUAUUAGUGCCAAAAAGGGAAGUAAAACCGAGGUUUUAGCUAAAACGAAGAUGGUGAAACCGCGAGAUAAUAAGAAAAGAAUGAUUGAUCCCAAAAACAAGAAAGAUGUGAAUGAUGCCAAAAAUGAAGAAGAACCAACAGUGGUAUCGAAACAUAAAUUGUUCCAGCUACUACUUCAACAUCGGAUACACUGGGAUCUUCAUGGAUACCUUUAUCUGCAGGUAGGUCAGUUUCUUGCUCGCAAAUAUUCUCGUGCUCAACAACAAUGGCAGCGGCUGCAAUGGAUGUAGUCUCGGUUACUGAAUCGAAUCCAGAUGGUACUUCCACAACAAGUUCAGUCGGAUCUUCGUAAAGUCCUUCGUCUACAGGUAGGUCAGUUUCAGGUUCGCGAAUAUUCUCGUGCUCAACAACAGUGGCAGCGGCUGCAAUGGGUGAAGUCUUGGUUAUUGGAUCGAAUCCAGAUGGUACUUCUACAACAGGUUCAGUCGGAUCUUCGUAAAGUCCUUCAUCUGCAGGUAGAUCAGUUUCAGGUUCGCGAAUAUUCUCAGGCUCAACAACAGAGGUAGUGGCUACACUGGGUGUAGUCUUGGUUAUUUGAUUUUCUUCUGUUAAUCUACGACGCACCAGGUGAGGUACAAUAUUUUCAAUUCGUCGGACUAUGCAUUUUUUUUUUUUUUGACGUGUUAAAUUUCCAUCAGCGGUCUUAUGUGUGAUGUUAUUAUCUCUUCCUUGGUGUGAGUCAAGAUGUAAUUCACUCACCUCUAUUUUUCCAGGACCAGAAGCUGUAUCUGAUUUAGAUAUCGUUUGCUCUGUCUUUUUCAUCAAGAUUGAUACUUCUUCCAUUGAUAAUUUCCGUAUCAACACUCGAGGUUGCCUACAUUUAAUUUCUUGUAGUGUGCGUGAUGAUAUUCGGAGACUCUGUCGUCUGGGUUGUUCGUCGAUAGCACUUUUUUUUUUAUUUUUUCCUCAACUUUUUUACAAUGUCGAACUUUUGUUGCAGUUUUAUUUUUUUUCAGGUUCGGAUAGUUUACCUUGAAUUUUUCCGUUGGAGUCGAAUCCUGUUGAAAUAAAACUCUUAAUACUUUAUUUUUAGUUCUUAGCAUGUACUUUUUAAAUUUUUACUAACCUUAGUUUCAUGUUUGUGUUUUAAAUUUGCUUUUUUCACCACCAGUAAUUGUUUCUCUUCAUCGGCAGCUAGUUUCACCACCAUCGGAUAUUCGCACUUUUGAGGGCUAUUCGAAAUCAUAUUAAACAUUUAAACAUUUAAAUUAUCUUAUUGACUGAUAGUUAUUAGUAAG
Long non-coding RNA from Microplitis mediator, 1461 nucleotides. RefSeq lists it as uncharacterized. The transcript is spliced from 6 exons. The record is from RefSeq and is a predicted model, not a curated record. Lineage: Eukaryota; Metazoa; Arthropoda; Insecta; Hymenoptera; Braconidae.